Molecule: ribosomal RNA, 253 nt
Filed under: uncultured prokaryote
Description: partial 16S ribosomal RNA
Rfam family: Bacterial small subunit ribosomal RNA
Source: RNAcentral
ACGUAGGCAGCGAGCGUUGUUCGGAGUUACUGGGCGUAAAGGGUGUGUAGGCGGUCCUCUAAGUUUGGUGUGAAAUCUCCCGGCUCAACCGGGAGGGUGCGCCGAAAACUGGGGGGCUAGAGCGCGGGAUGGGUAAGUGGAAUUCCUGGUGUAGCGGUGAAAUGCGUAGAUAUCAGGAGGAACACCUGUGGUGUAGACGGCUUACUGGACCGCAACUGACGCUGAGACACGAAAGCGUGGGUAGCAAACAGGA